Molecule: non-coding RNA, 109 nt
Filed under: Staphylococcus chromogenes
Lineage: Bacteria; Bacillati; Bacillota; Bacilli; Caryophanales; Staphylococcaceae
Description: TPP sequence
Rfam family: TPP riboswitch aptamer (THI element)
About the family: Vitamin B(1) in its active form thiamin pyrophosphate (TPP) is an essential coenzyme that is synthesised by coupling of pyrimidine and thiazole moieties in bacteria. The previously detected thiamin-regulatory element, thi box was extended, resulting in a new, highly conserved RNA secondary structure, the THI element, which is widely distributed in eubacteria and also occurs in some archaea.
Source: RNAcentral
UGUUUCCACUGGAAGUGCCAUGAACAAUGGCUGAGAUUAAAAUAGUGAUUUUAAAAUUCCCGGACCUGAUCCAGAUAAUGCUGGCGUAGGAAAGUGGCACGUAUUCAUG